CGAACGAUGAUGCCCAGCUUGCUGGGUGGAUUAGUGGCGAACGGGUGAGUAACACGUGAGUAACCUGCCCCUGACUCUGGGAUAAGCGUUGGAAACGACGUCUAAUACUGGAUAUGAUCACUGGCCGCAUGGUCUGGUGGUGGAAAGAUUUUUUGGUUGGGGAUGGACUCGCGGCCUAUCAGCUUGUUGGUGAGGUAAUGGCUCACCAAGGCGACGACGGGUAGCCGGCCUGAGAGGGUGACCGGCCACACUGGGACUGAGACACGGCCCAGACUCCUACGGGAGGCAGCAGUGGGGAAUAUUGCACAAUGGGCGAAAGCCUGAUGCAGCAACGCCGCGUGAGGGAUGACGGCCUUCGGGUUGUAAACCUCUUUUAGUAGGGAAGAAGCGAAAGUGACGGUACCUGCAGAAAAAGCACCGGCUAACUACGUGCCAGCAGCCGCGGUAAUACGUAGGGUGCAAGCGUUGUCCGGAAUUAUUGGGCGUAAAGAGCUCGUAGGCGGUUUGUCGCGUCUGCUGUGAAAUCCCGAGGCUCAACCUCGGGCUUGCAGUGGGUACGGGCAGACUAGAGUGCGGUAGGGGAGAUUGGAAUUCCUGGUGUAGCGGUGGAAUGCGCAGAUAUCAGGAGGAACACCGAUGGCGAAGGCAGAUCUCUGGGCCGUAACUGACGCUGAGGAGCGAAAGCAUGGGGAGCGAACAGGAUUAGAUACCCUGGUAGUCCAUGCCGUAAACGUUGGGCGCUAGAUGUAGGGACCUUUCCACGGUUUCUGUGUCGUAGCUAACGCAUUAAGCGCCCCGCCUGGGGAGUACGGCCGCAAGGCUAAAACUCAAAGGAAUUGACGGGGGCCCGCACAAGCGGCGGAGCAUGCGGAUUAAUUCGAUGCAACGCGAAGAACCUUACCAAGGCUUGACAUACACCGGAAACGGCCAGAGAUGGUCGCCCCCUUGUGGUCGGUGUACAGGUGGUGCAUGGUUGUCGUCAGCUCGUGUCGUGAGAUGUUGGGUUAAGUCCCGCAACGAGCGCAACCCUCGUUCUAUGUUGCCAGCGGGUUAUGCCGGGGACUCAUAGGAGACUGCCGGGGUCAACUCGGAGGAAGGUGGGGAUGACGUCAAAUCAUCAUGCCCCUUAUGUCUUGGGCUUCACGCAUGCUACAAUGGCCGGUACAAAGGGCUGCGAUACCGUAAGGUGGAGCGAAUCCCAAAAAGCCGGUCUCAGUUCGGAUUGAGGUCUGCAACUCGACCUCAUGAAGUCGGAGUCGCUAGUAAUCGCAGAUCAGCAACGCUGCGGUGAAUACGUUCCCGGGCCUUGUACACACCGCCCGUCAAGUCAUGAAAGUCGGUAACACCCGAAGCCGGUGGCCUAACCCUUGUGGAAGGAGCCG
This 1382-nucleotide ribosomal RNA is filed under the name unidentified. RNAcentral's name for it is "bacterial SSU rRNA". It matches the Rfam family "Bacterial small subunit ribosomal RNA". The record is from RNAcentral.